CUUUGUGUUUUGAGUGUGUACUGUGAUCUGAAAUCAGCUGAGUUUCAUGUGUGUUUGAUGUGCAGGUUUUGGAAGGCUUAAGGGGACAAAUCCAGGGAAAUACUGAUAUUGUAUUUGCACGAAAGAGUGAGGUAGCUAUAAAUUGUCCCUCUUGGCACUCCUGGAUACCAAAACUGGACAAUGAUGUUGAUACUCUCAGUAUGAUUUUAAAGAAAACAAGCACAGUAAACUAGCUUCUUGUAUUCUUGUUUCAGGAGAAGAUGUUGUUUGAGCUCUAGGAGAUGCUGUAGGAGUUGCAUCAUAAAUAAGAACAUCACUGAGUUCAAAAGCAUCAUGUCCCUCUUCCCUGGCUUCUGUUAAUUGUCUCUAAAUCUGUACUGCAUGGAGAAGUUGUGGAGUUGUAAAGAGUUUAGACUGAGCACCCCUCAGAGGUCUUUGAGAUUCAAACCAGCAUUGGAAGUGACAGCCCAGAUAACACAGAUCCUGGGUGAGGACAUCUGUGUCUUAGUAGCCCCCAAGAAGAGUGCCUGAGACUGGAAUGUGGGUAUUGUUUUCUGUGAACUUGAGAUUGGAGUACCCCAAAAGGGAUGUGGAACUAAAGCUGGCCUCGGGGCUGAGUAAUGGAAGAUGCAGAG
This 635-nucleotide long non-coding RNA is filed under the name Chrysemys picta bellii (western painted turtle). Its description in RNAcentral is "lncRNA (ENSCPBG00000000127.1)". The record is from RNAcentral. Lineage: Eukaryota; Metazoa; Chordata; Testudines; Emydidae.